Molecule: long non-coding RNA, 1493 nt
Organism: Piliocolobus tephrosceles (Ugandan red Colobus)
Lineage: Eukaryota; Metazoa; Chordata; Mammalia; Primates; Cercopithecidae
Source: Ensembl
AUAACAACAUUAACACCGAUAACAACACUAACACCGAUAACAACAUUCAACAUAAAGAACUUGAAAAUAUACCACCCCAAUCAAUUAAUACAUCGCCAUUUUUUAACAAAUAUUAUAAAGAACAAUUUAUAACAUAUAUAAAAAAUUUUAAAGAAAAAAUGGAAAAUAGUUUAAAGUUAAUAAACAGUACAAGUAUUAAAAAUAUAUAUCAAGGUACGAUAAAUAAAGAAGAAAUUAAUAUUAAUAAUAAUUAUAUACAUUAUGCUAAAAUAAAUGAAUAUAUAUUUGUUACUUUUCGUUUGACUAACCCUUUACAUACAAAAAUAGAAUGUCAAGAAACACACAUAUGUGUAUAUUAUUACAACGAUGAAAUCAAUAAAGAUAUACAAGUACAAAAACGAAUUUUCAUUUUGGAACCUAAAGAAUCUAAAACUUUUACGCUAUACAUUAAGCCGUUGAGACGGGGCUUGCUAUUUAUAUCUGGUAUAAUAUGGCACCUGUUCGGACUCGUCAAGAUAUACCAAAGCUUUUAUACACAUGGACAAAAAAAUAUACACAAAAAACAUAACCAGUUACAUUGCUUAAAAUAUGACGAUGUAUAUAAUGCCAAUAAUAUUGCUGAAAAAAAUGAUAAAAUAAAAAAACUGAAUAAAGAAAUGGAAAGUUUUGUUUGGUCAUCUAAUAUUGGUAUGCAACAAAACCAAAACUUAGAACAUAUAAAAAAUUAUCACAUUGAUCAUAGACUACUUCUAUACGUAUACGACAAUGUAUACUCUUUAAAUUUUUCAUUUGUUAAUGUAUAUACAAAACAAAAAAAAAACUACUAAUAAUUAUGAAGUGGAUAUGAUACAGUUGCUAGAAGGAGAAAAUAUGAAAAUGAUUAUAAAAAUAACUAACACUUCUAUUUUACCAGUUAACUAUUUAUGUAUAUGUAUUACUCCUUGUACUGUUUUUGAAUGUUAUAAAAUUGUGUGUAACAACGAAGAAGAAUACUUUUUAAAUAGUAACAAAAGAAAGAAAAAAAAUUAUUACAAUAAGAGGACAAACUGUUUAAAAAGGUAUUACAUACCUACGAAUGAGACACUUGGUCAAUAUAAAAUUAAUCACGUAAAUGAUGAUGGUACUAUUCCAAAAAUGUUUAUACAAAACGAUAUGUAUUGUGAAAAUCUGAUCAGUAACGAUAUUAACGUGUUCAGGCAAAAAUUUAAACAUAAAAAAUGUUCAACAUAUAAAAAUUUAUGGUAAUAUAAAAAAAAAAUUAUACACUGUUUUUACAUGUGAAAGUUAAUUCUAAUUAUAGCGGAUUACAUAAAUGCUUAAUUACUGCUUUAUGUUCAUAUGAAAAUGAUAAUAACGUAUUAAAACGUAAUUGUAAAAGUAAUGAUAAAAGUAAUCACAUACGCAGUGAUAAAAGUAAUGACAUACGCAGUGAUGAACAAACAAAUGAAAAUUUAAAAAAUAAAAAAAAUCAUCUGACUUAUUAAUAAAAGAAA